UCCCUGACAGUCCAAUGGUUAAGACUCUGUACUUUCAAUGCAAGGAGUGAGGGUUCAAUCCCUGGUCAGGGAA
This 73-nucleotide transfer RNA is filed under the name Bos taurus (domestic cattle). It matches the Rfam family "tRNA". From Rfam's summary of the family: Transfer RNA (tRNA) molecules are approximately 80 nucleotides in length. Their secondary structure includes four short double-helical elements and three loops (D, anti-codon, and T loops). RNAcentral also lists the same sequence under 8 other names. The record is from Rfam by way of RNAcentral. Lineage: Eukaryota; Metazoa; Chordata; Mammalia; Artiodactyla; Bovidae.